AGUGAACGCUGGCGGUAGGCCUAACACAUGCAAGUCGAACGGCAGCACAGUAAGAGCUUGCUCUUACGGGUGGCGAGUGGCGGACGGGUGAGGAAUACAUCGGAAUCUACUUUUUCGUGGGGGAUAACGUAGGGAAACUUACGCUAAUACCGCAUACGACCUACGGGUGAAAGCAGGGGAUCUUCGGACCUUGCGCGAUUGAAUGAGCCGAUGUCGGAUUAGCUAGUUGGCGGGGUAAAGGCCCACCAAGGCGACGAUCCGUAGCUGGUCUGAGAGGAUGAUCAGCCACACUGGAACUGAGACACGGUCCAGACUCCUACGGGAGGCAGCAGUGGGGAAUAUUGGACAGUGGGCGCAAGCCUGAUCCAGCCAUACCGCGUGGGUGAAGAAGGCCUUCGGGUUGUAAAGCCCUUUUGUUGGGAAAGAAAAGCAGCAGGUAAAUACCCCACUGUUCUGACGGUACCCAAAGAAUAAGCACCGGCUAACUUCGU
Molecule: ribosomal RNA, 491 nt
Filed under: uncultured bacterium
Lineage: Bacteria
Description: partial 16S ribosomal RNA
Rfam family: Bacterial small subunit ribosomal RNA
Source: RNAcentral